RNAcentral lists this transfer RNA (42 nucleotides) under Neckera cephalonica. RNAcentral describes it as "partial tRNA-Phe". The record is from RNAcentral. Lineage: Eukaryota; Viridiplantae; Streptophyta; Bryopsida; Hypnales; Neckeraceae.
AAAAAGCCGGGAUAGCUCAGUUGGUAGAGCAGAGGACUGAAA